GAUGAACGCUGGCGGCGUGCCUAAUACAUGCAAGUCGAGCGAAUGGAUUAAGAGCUUGCUCUUAUGAAGUUAGCGGCGGACGGGUGAGUAACACGUGGGUAACCUGCCCAUAAGACUGGGAUAACUCCGGGAAACCGGGGCUAAUACCGGAUAACAUUUUGAACCGCAUGGUUCGAAAUUGAAAGGCGGCUUCGGCUGUCACUUAUGGAUGGACCCGCGUCGCAUUAGCUAGUUGGUGAGGUAACGGCUCACCGAGGCAACGAUGCGUAGCCGAACUGGGAGGGUGAUGGGCCACAGUGGGACUGAGACACGGCCCAGGGUCCUACGGGAGGCAGCAGUAGGGAAUCGUCCGCAAUGGACGAAAGUCUGACGGAGCAACGCCGCGUGAGUGAUGAAGGCUUUCGGGUCGUAAAACUCUGUUGUUAGGGAAGAACAAGUGCUAGUUGAAUAAGCUGGCACCUUGACGGUACCUAACCAGAAAGCCACGGCUAACUACGUGCCAGCAGCCGCAGUAA
Molecule: ribosomal RNA, 515 nt
Filed under: uncultured bacterium
Lineage: Bacteria
Description: partial 16S ribosomal RNA
Rfam family: Bacterial small subunit ribosomal RNA
Source: RNAcentral